UCCCUCUUAGCUCAGUUGGUAGAGCGCGUCACUAGUACGAUUACAUCGUGUAAUGACGAGGUCAGUCGUUCAAAUCGGCUAGCGGGAA
RNAcentral lists this transfer RNA (88 nucleotides) under Trametes pubescens. It matches the Rfam family "tRNA". Rfam says of the family: Transfer RNA (tRNA) molecules are approximately 80 nucleotides in length. Lineage: Eukaryota; Fungi; Basidiomycota; Agaricomycetes; Polyporales; Polyporaceae. The record is from Rfam by way of RNAcentral.